This 455-nucleotide ribosomal RNA is filed under the name uncultured organism. RNAcentral describes it as "partial 16S ribosomal RNA". It matches the Rfam family "Bacterial small subunit ribosomal RNA", at positions 333 to 797 of the family's 1533-position model. The record is from RNAcentral.
ACACUCCUACGGGAGGCAGCAGUGGGGAAUAUUGCACAAUGGGCGCAAGCCUGAUGCAGCGACGCCGCGUGGGGGAUGAAGGCCUUCGGGUUGUAAACUCCUUUCGCUAGGGACGAAGCUUUUUUGUGACGGUACCUAGAUAAGAAGCACCGGCUAACUACGUGCCAGCAGCCGCGGUAAUACGUAGGGUGCGAGCGUUGUCCGGAAUUACUGGGCGUAAAGGGCUCGUAGGUGGUUUGUCGCGUCGUCUGUGAAAUUCUGGGGCUUAACUCCGGGCGUGCAGGCGAUACGGGCAUAACUUGAGUGCUGUAGGGGUAACUGGAAUUCCUGGUGUAGCGGUGAAAUGCGCAGAUAUCAGGAGGAACACCGAUGGCGAAGGCAGGUUACUGGGCAGUUACUGACGCUGAGGAGCGAAAGCAUGGGUAGCGAACAGGAUUAGAUACCCCAGUAGUCCC